UACAUGGGGUGCAAACGUUGCUCGGAAUUAUUGGGCGUAAAGCGCGCGUAGGCGGUUACUUAUGUCGGAUGUGAAAGCCCUCGGCUUAACUGAGGAAGUGCAUUCGAAACUGGGUAGCUAGAGUACUAAAGAGGGUCGCGGAAUUCCCGGUGUAGAGGUGAAAUUCGUAGAUAUCGGGAGGAACACCGGUGGCGAAGGCGGCGACCUGGGUAGAUACUGACGCUGAGGAGCGAAAGCGUGGGGAGCGAACAGG
This 253-nucleotide ribosomal RNA is filed under the name uncultured bacterium. RNAcentral's name for it is "partial 16S ribosomal RNA". It matches the Rfam family "Bacterial small subunit ribosomal RNA", at positions 524 to 776 of the family's 1533-position model. The record is from RNAcentral.